RNAcentral lists this ribosomal RNA (1316 nucleotides) under Phyllodactylus galapagensis (Galapagos leaf-toed gecko). RNAcentral's name for it is "partial 16S ribosomal RNA". It matches the Rfam family "Bacterial large subunit ribosomal RNA", at positions 24 to 2561 of the family's 2925-position model. Lineage: Eukaryota; Metazoa; Chordata; Lepidosauria; Squamata; Phyllodactylidae. The record is from RNAcentral.
CUAAAAAGUUUGCCGGCCUACCAUCACCAGCCUUCUACGACCCCUCCACCCCAAACCAUUUGUCACAUCAAGUAUCAGCGACAGAAAAAUACCCCCCCGCGCAACAGCCAAUAGUACCAUAUGGGAACACUGAAAGAAAACUACCACUAUUAAAGCACAAAACAGCAGGGCCCACAACCCGUACCUUUUGCAUCAUGGUUUAACAAGCCCUGCCCAGGUAAAGCGCACUACAACCUGCCCACCCGAAUCCAGACGAUCUACCUCAGAGCAAUCUACAGGAUGAACCCCCCUCUGUGGCAAAAGAGCGGGAAGACUUUGAAGUAGCGGUGAAACGCCAAUCGAGCCUGGCGAUAGCUGGUUGCUCACUAAACGAAUCAAAGUUCGACUCUAGCCAAGCCCCACCGACCUUAUCCACCCCUGUCCAUUUUGCCUAGAAGUUAUACAACUAGGGGACAGCCUAGUUGUAACCGGAUACAGCCCAAAACUGGCGGACCAGAGAAGCCCCCCCCCCAUUCCCGUAGGCCUUCAAGCAGCCACCAAAUAARACCGCGUCAAAGCACCACAGCCCCAAAAAUCUCCACUACGACCACAAAUCCCCACACCAAACUGAGCCACCCUAGGUAAACCUAGGGGAGACCCUGUUAGAACGAGUAAUAAGAGCCACCUCUCUACCGCACACCCUUACGCCGGNACGGACUACCCCCCGGCAAUUACCAACCAAAAACCACGCCACUGUCACCCCGACACAGGAGUGCCUAAAAGACCGGCAAACCGUCCCAGAAGGAACUCAGCUAACAUGCCCCACCUGUUUACCAAAAACACCGCCUUUAGCCAAACAAGUAUUAAAGGUCCCGCCUGCCCAGUGAGCCCCCUUAAACGGCCGCGGUACUCUAACCGUGCAAAGGUAGCGUAAUCACUUGCCCCCUAAAUAGGGGCUAGUAUGAACGGCUAAAUGAGGGCCUAACUGUCUCCUGCGACAAGCCAAUGAAACUGCUCUCUCAGUACAAAAGCUGAGAUGACACCACAAGACGAGAAGACCCUGUGGAGCUUCUAAGCACCACACUAACCCAACAGCCCACCCAUAGUGCACACUUUAAGUUGGGGCGACUACGGAGAAAACCCUAACCUCCACGAAACAGGACUAACCUCCACCCAAGGCCAACAAGCCAAGGCUAUCAAUGACCCAUUGACCCAGCAACGCUGAACAACGGACCAAGUUACCCCAGGGAUAACAGCGCAAUCCUCCUCAAGAGUCCAUAUCGCCAGGAGGGUUUACGACCUCGAUGUUGGAUCAGGACCCCCAGGCGGUGCAGCCG